This 399-nucleotide ribosomal RNA is filed under the name uncultured bacterium. RNAcentral's name for it is "bacterial SSU rRNA". It matches the Rfam family "Bacterial small subunit ribosomal RNA", at positions 28 to 431 of the family's 1533-position model. The record is from RNAcentral.
GACGAACGCUGGCGGCGUGCUUAACACAUGCAAGUCGAACGAUGAACCACUUCGGUGGGGAUUAGUGGCGAACGGGUGAGUAACACGUGGGCAAUCUGCCCUGCACUCUGGGACAAGCCCUGGAAACGGGGUCUAAUACCGGAUACCACCACCGCAGGCAUCUGUGGUGGUUGAAAGCUCCGGCGGUGCAGGAUGAGCCCGCGGCCUAUCAGCUUGUUGGUGAGGUAGAAGCUCACCAAGGCGACGACGGGUAGCCGGCCUGAGAGGGCGACCGGCCACACUGGGACUGAGACACGGCCCAGACUCCUACGGGAGGCAGCAGUGGGGAAUUUUGGACAAUGGGGGCAACCCUGAUCCAGCCAUUCCGCGUGAGUGAAGAAGGCCUUCGGUUGUAAGUAC